Molecule: small RNA, 200 nt
Filed under: Pilibacter termitis
Lineage: Bacteria; Bacillati; Bacillota; Bacilli; Lactobacillales; Enterococcaceae
Description: Listeria sRNA rli28
Rfam family: Listeria sRNA rli28
Source: Rfam by way of RNAcentral
GUUUUUACAUUAAAAUGAUUAGUAGAAGAACGAAAGUUUAAUAAUGGUGGCUUAGUACAAUCUGAAAGGAUGUGGUGCCUAUGGGAGAAAUCUCUAACACUCAGAACUUACAGAAAGGAAAAGCAAUUUAUGACAGUGGUUGAGACCUUUCAAUUAAUGUUUCUUUUUGGAACAUUUAUUGUUGGGUUGCUAAACCUAGU